RNAcentral lists this transfer RNA (75 nucleotides) under Streptomyces koelreuteriae. Its description in RNAcentral is "Streptomyces sp. MG62 tRNA-Ser". RNAcentral also lists the same sequence under 1 other name. The record is from RNAcentral. Lineage: Bacteria; Bacillati; Actinomycetota; Actinomycetes; Kitasatosporales; Streptomycetaceae.
GCCCCAGGUCACUGGUACGGUCUCCCAGCCGCUCUCCUAAAGCGGGUGUCGCAGGUUCGAAUCCUGCCGGGGGCA